GAGUCUGACUAGAGGAGGAGUGUAGAGCAGAGCUUUGCUCAGGACUCUUACAGUGGAGAUCAGUCUCCACAUGUACGGACACUCUGUAUGGCCCUGGUGCCCUGCACGCUUGGCUGUGAGGAUCACCACAGCCAUGGCCCCAACAGUGCCAGUCUUGGUUUAUUUCAACUCGGAGAGUGCUAGUCUCCCGGACUUAAUUAACCUUUCCAUAAUGCCUGUCUGGAGAUAAUCACAAAUAAGCAGACUUGGUGGCUAAGUUCCGCUCCUCUGAGGCCCACACUCAAAAUCAGCCAAGAGGUGAAAACAUAAAUAUCACGGCUGGCCAUGCUAUAGCAAACCGGAAAAAGGACACAAGUCUGAUCCAGAGGAACUACGGGAAAUGACCCGCAAGGGAAAGAAGUCACAGUGUAAUCCUGAGACCCACCCUUCCGGUCAGACAGGGUGGUCUGGUCAAGAUGGCGUUAAGCCAGAGCACUAUUCAACAUAAAUGAAUGAAGAAAAGACAGUGCUGAACUUCCACCCCCUUACAUUUCUGUCAGUCAAUGUACAAUAUAAACUGUAAAAAAAAAAAGAAGGAAGAAAAAAGUACUGGUAAUUUUCUGCCAGAAUAUUAUCCAUUAAUUUUAAGAACAUCUCCAUUAACCAUAAAACACAUUGCAAUGAAGUGCAAAAUGCAAAAUUCAAAAUCUGAGUAAAGAUUUCAAUAUGGAAACAAUUCCUUAAUUUUAAUAAAGUUCAUUGUGCCCAAUUUUUACAUAUUUUUACAAAAUAGAAGCAUUUUAUAACUGGAGGGCUGAUACUUUUGGACACCACUGUCCACUAUUUUCUUUUGUGCUUUUAUUUUGUGUGUGUGUGUUUCAGUUUAAAUAUUUAUGAAUUUGUGAAAUGAAAAUUUUUACCUAUUUGUGACCAAACAGCUGCGGAUGGACGGAUAUUUAAGGUACAUUUGACGUUUACAUACUGACUAUUUUCACGCCCAAGCACAUCUUUUUUUUCCCUGUUAUUUAUUGCGCCAAUACUUGACUCUAAUGCAAUACUUUCAAUGAUUUACAUCCUUAAUAAAUCUGCUAUCCAGCUCUGAUCAUAAUAUGGACUUAUGAUCAAUCAGAAGGGAAACAUGGAGCUUUGUAGAGAACCUUGAAACUGGCAAAGGCCAGGAUGAGGUACAGCACUGGGUUCAACCUCCUGUGCCUACUGAGCUGAUAACAGUUGAUGUAUUUAGCACUGGCUCAGUUCAGCAGGAACCGGAGUUAAGCCCCUUAAGACCAAGAGCGCUUUCGAAGACUCUGCGGCUUACAGAAAAUGCAGUCUUCUGUACAGAUCAUACUCCUCAGAACAAUUUUCAUUAUCCGCCAAGAUCUACAAGACUAUGGAGGAAAGCUGCUCCUGUAAUUUGAGCUUUAACCAAAUAAUAGGAGCAGAGGUUUUCCAGAUACAUUUCCAACUGGAUCAUCUGUGCCAGGCAAAAUGUAAUAAUUCAGCUAAAUGACUCCUAAUAUGUCAGUCUCACUCUGUUCAAGAACUCGAUCAUGUUUCACUUCCACGAGGGAAUGAGUGUCAUAAACUGAAAGAAAGGGGAAAAAAAUUACAGAAAUAAUAAAAUAACCUUUUAAACUGCCAUUCGCUUCCAUUUAUUUGUUGUAUGAAUUCAUGCAAAAGGUGUCAAAUAAGAAAAUCACCACUCUCUUUUCUUUCAAAUGAGCCUUGGCGUUGCAGAAAGACUUUAUUUCCAAAGUUUCAUAACAGAUCAAUUGAUGAGAUGUGAAGAGGGACAUUAGGGUUUACAGAGCACACAGAUUUAUUGCAGC
Cyprinus carpio carpio is the source of this 1808-nucleotide long non-coding RNA. NCBI's taxonomy places the organism in Eukaryota, Metazoa, Chordata, Actinopteri, Cypriniformes, Cyprinidae. The record is from Ensembl.